CGGGAGGCAGCAGUGGGGAAUAUUGCACAAUGGGGGAAACCCUGAUGCAGCAACGCCGCGUGGAGGAUGACACAUUUCGGUGCGUAAACUCCUUUUAUAUGGGAAGAUAAUGACGGUACCAUAUGAAUAAGCACCCGGCUAACUUC
Molecule: ribosomal RNA, 146 nt
Filed under: uncultured bacterium
Lineage: Bacteria
Description: partial 16S ribosomal RNA
Rfam family: Bacterial small subunit ribosomal RNA
Source: RNAcentral